AAAUAGAUACCCGGGUAGUCCACGCCGUAAACGACUGAGUGCUAAGUGUUAGAGGGUUUCCGCCCUUUAGGUGCUGCAGCUAACGCAUUAAGCACUCCGCCUGGGGAGUACGGUCGCAAGACUGAAACUCAAAGGAAUUGACGGGGGCCCGCACAAGCGGUGGAGCAUGUGGUUUAAUUCGAAGCAACGCGAAGAACCUUACCAGGUCUUGACAUCCUCUGACAACUCUAGAGAUAGAGCGUUCCCCUUCGGGGGACAGAGUGACAGGUGGUGCAUGGUUGUCGUCAGCUCGUGUCGUGAGAUGUUGGGUUAAGUCCCGCAACGAGCGCAACCCUUGAUCUUAGUUGCCAGCAUUUAGUUGGGCACUCUAAGGUGACUGCCGGUGACAAACCGGAGGAAGGUGGGGAUGACGUCAAAUCAUCAUGCCCCUUAUGACCUGGGCUACACACGUGCUACAAUGGAUGGUACAAAGGGCUGCAAGACCGCGAGGUCAAGCCAAUCCCAUAGAACCAUUCUCAGUUCGGAUUGUAGG
This 532-nucleotide ribosomal RNA is filed under the name uncultured bacterium. Its description in RNAcentral is "bacterial SSU rRNA". It matches the Rfam family "Bacterial small subunit ribosomal RNA", at positions 776 to 1304 of the family's 1533-position model. The record is from RNAcentral.